GCACUGCUGAGGAGUCCCACAAUAGGACGAAACGGCCGUUCGUUGC
RNAcentral lists this non-coding RNA (46 nucleotides) under Schistosoma curassoni. The record is from RNAcentral. Lineage: Eukaryota; Metazoa; Platyhelminthes; Trematoda; Strigeidida; Schistosomatidae.